This 77-nucleotide microRNA precursor is filed under the name Medicago truncatula (barrel medic). RNAcentral's name for it is "miR5266 stem-loop (mtr-MIR5266)". The record is from miRBase by way of RNAcentral. Lineage: Eukaryota; Viridiplantae; Streptophyta; Magnoliopsida; Fabales; Fabaceae.
UGGGGCAUGGCUGGGGGACUGUCUGGGGCGCGCCCAGGCAGCCCCCAGCCACCAAAAAACAAGCUGCUCCCCCCAAA